This 253-nucleotide ribosomal RNA is filed under the name uncultured bacterium. Its description in RNAcentral is "partial 16S ribosomal RNA". It matches the Rfam family "Bacterial small subunit ribosomal RNA", at positions 524 to 776 of the family's 1533-position model. The record is from RNAcentral.
UACGUAGGGGGCAAGCGUUGUCCGGAUUUAUUGGGCGUAAAGAGCGUGUAGGCGGCUGGGUAGGUCCGUUGUGAAAACUCGAGGCUCAACCUCGAGACGCCGAUGGAAACUCUCCAGCUAGAGUCCGGAAGAGGAGAGUGGAAUUCCUGGUGUAGCGGUGAAAUGCGCAGAUAUCAGGAAGAACACCCGUGGCUAAGGCGGCUCUCUAGUACGGUACUGACGCUGAGACGCGAAAGCGUGGGGAGCGAACAGG